Molecule: ribosomal RNA, 497 nt
Filed under: uncultured bacterium
Lineage: Bacteria
Description: partial 16S ribosomal RNA
Rfam family: Bacterial small subunit ribosomal RNA
Source: RNAcentral
GAUGAACGCUGGCGGCGUGCCUAAUACAUGCAAGUCGAGCGGACGGACGAGAAGCGUGCUUCUCUGAUGUUAGCGGCGGACGGGUGAGUAACACGUGGAUAACCUACCUAUAAGACGGGGAUAACUCCGGGAAACCGGAGCUAAUACCGGAUGAGAUUUUGAACCGGAGGGGGCAAGAGUGAAAGACGGUGUUGCGGUCACCGAUAGAUGGAUCCGCGCGGCAUGAGCUGGUUGGUAAGGGUACGGCUUACCAAGGCAACGAUGCAGAGCCGACCUGAGAGGGGGAUCGGCCACCCUGGAGCUUGGCCGCGGUCCCGGCGCCUGAGGGAGGCCCCAGUCGGGAAUGUUCCGCAAUGGUCGAAAGCCUUACGGAGCAACGGCGCGUGAGUUACGACGGCCCUCGGAUCGUGAUACUCUGUUACUAGUUGAAAACAUAUGUGUAAGGAACUGUGCACCUCUUGACGGUACCUAUACAGAAAGCCCCGGCUAACUACGUG